RNAcentral lists this transfer RNA (71 nucleotides) under Loxodonta africana (African savanna elephant). It matches the Rfam family "tRNA". From Rfam's summary of the family: Transfer RNA (tRNA) molecules are approximately 80 nucleotides in length. The record is from Rfam by way of RNAcentral. Lineage: Eukaryota; Metazoa; Chordata; Mammalia; Proboscidea; Elephantidae.
GGCAAGGUGGUUCAGUGGUAGAACUCUCGCAUUCCAUGCAGGAGACCCGAGUUCGAUUCCUGGCCAAGGCA